Molecule: long non-coding RNA, 1086 nt
Organism: Myripristis murdjan (pinecone soldierfish)
Lineage: Eukaryota; Metazoa; Chordata; Actinopteri; Holocentriformes; Holocentridae
Exons: 2
Source: RefSeq, a predicted model, not a curated record
GAAAUCGCCGCCUCGCUGAAGCAAGUGGAUAGACCGAGGGCCAAUUACGCCCGCCCACUGUUCCCCGAAUUGGCCAAUAACAGUUCGGAGCGUCUCAUCGGUCAUGGGCUCGCUGACCAAUCCGCUUCAGCUAAUUCGUCCAGCGGGCCAAUAGAAGGCCAAUUCUGCCCCUCCUGCUUUACUGCAGAUUUUCGAGGCUUGCAGCCAGCAGCAUCGCGAGUCUCUAGGCUGAAAUUUUGUGUAAAUGGACGCACAAGGUGGAGUACCUGCCUAACAAGGUAAUGAGCACGUUCACAUCUGUGUGCUCCAUCCACGCCUCGCAUCUGCAGUGCAGGCCCCGACACUGUGAUUGGAGGAGGGAGGAGACACACCCCUGUGUGAUUGGACAAGAGCUGAGACUCAGCAUAACGUGACUGGAGUAAGAGAACUUUCAUGUUGCUGGGCUGGCUGAAAAAUCACCAUUGUUUCUGUUGGGACAAACAAAUGGAGGAGUAAAGAGAAAAUGAAAAGAGCGCUAUGAGGAAAAGAGGGGGGAGGCAUUGCAGGAAAGCAGGUGCAGGACUUUGCAAAUCAGCAGAGGAGUGAAUUGACAAAUAUGUAAUGUAACAGCCGGCUUUAUCUCUCUCUCUCUCUCUCUGUCCAUCCGACUCUUCUCCCUCACACCUUUACAUCUCAGAGUAGGAGGGAUCUUUUCCAGUGCUGCUUACAGGCCACUGCAGGUAGUAUUGAACUGAGUAAGUAGUUACAACUGUGGGAAACAGAAUAUGAGCCGUGAGCAUGGGAAAGAUUUGAGCCUAUCCGAGAAGACGUUUAAAGGGCAUGUUGGACAUCCCACCCCUUUAAAUGAGAAAUUCUGUAGGCAGUUAGAGGAAGUCACUCAGCAGGUACAGAAGAGCCAAUGCAACCUGAGCUGAUGGCAUUAAAUAUUAACAAUCAUUUUUUUAAACCAACUGGCAUUACCACUGCCCUAGGGAAACAAGCAAAUGUCAGUCACACAAACACAUGCACUUGCGUUUUGCACUAUUCACAUAAAUUAACAAACAGGAAGUAGGUAUUCCUGUGAUAUUUCACUUACAGAUGCAGAUA